This 68-nucleotide transfer RNA is filed under the name Cotesia glomerata. Its description in RNAcentral is "tRNA-Met". Lineage: Eukaryota; Metazoa; Arthropoda; Insecta; Hymenoptera; Braconidae. The record is from RNAcentral.
UGAUAGCUCAACUGGUAGAGUCUUCGGCGCAUAACUAAAAAAUCCGGGUUCGAAUCCCGGGUUCGAAU